This 433-nucleotide ribosomal RNA is filed under the name uncultured bacterium. RNAcentral describes it as "partial 16S ribosomal RNA". It matches the Rfam family "Bacterial small subunit ribosomal RNA", at positions 29 to 507 of the family's 1533-position model. The record is from RNAcentral.
AACGAACGCUGGCGGCAUGCCUAACACAUGCAAGUCGAACGAGACCUUCGGGUCUAGUGGCGCACGGGUGCGUAACGCGUGGGAACCUGCCCUUAGGUUCGGAAUAACUCCCCGAAAGGGGUGCUAAUACCGGAUAAUGUCUUCGGACCAAAGAUUUAUCGCCUUUGGAUGGGCCCGCGUUGGAUUAGCUAGUUGGUAGGGUAAAAGCCUACCAAGGCGACGAUCCAUAGCUGGUCUGAGAGGAUGAUCAGCCACACUGGGACUGAGACACGGCCCAGACUCCUACGGGAGGCAGGAGUGGGGAAUAGUGGACAGUGGGCGAAAGGCUGAUCCAGCAAUGCCGCGUGAGUGAUGAAGGCCUUAGGGUUGUAAAGCUCUUUUACCCGGGAUGAUAAUGACAGUACCGGGAGAAUAAGCUCCGGCUAACUCCGUG